CCUACAGGGUGCAGCAGUGAGGAAUAUUGGUCAAUGGACGGAAGUCUGAACCAGCCAUGCCGCGUGCAGGAAGACGGCUCUAUGAGUUGUACACUGCUUUUGUACAAGGGUAAACCUGAAUACGUGUAUUCAGCUGAAAGUACUGUACGAAUAAGGAUCGUCUAACUCCGUACCAGCAGCCGCGGUACUACGGAGGAUCCAAGCGUUAUCCGGAUUUAUUGGGGUUAAAGGGUGCGUAGGCGGAGUGAUAAGUUAGAGGGGAAAUGUCCGAGCUUAACUCGGGAACUGCCUCUAGUUCUGUUGAUCUAGAGAGUAGAUGCGGUAGGCGGAAUGUAUGGUGUAGCGGUGAAAUGCUGAGAGAUCAGACAGAACACCGAUUGCGAAGGCAGCUUACCAAUCUAUAUCUGACGUGGAGGCACGAAAGCGUGGGGAGCAAACAGGAUUAGAUACCCCUGUAGUC
Molecule: ribosomal RNA, 460 nt
Filed under: uncultured bacterium
Lineage: Bacteria
Description: partial 16S ribosomal RNA
Rfam family: Bacterial small subunit ribosomal RNA
Source: RNAcentral